Molecule: small RNA, 30 nt
Filed under: Bombyx mori (domestic silkworm)
Lineage: Eukaryota; Metazoa; Arthropoda; Insecta; Lepidoptera; Bombycidae
Description: ovarian small RNA-11286
Source: RNAcentral
ACCCUGAUGGCAACGGUGCGCUGCGGCCGG